Molecule: ribosomal RNA, 511 nt
Filed under: uncultured bacterium
Lineage: Bacteria
Description: bacterial SSU rRNA
Rfam family: Bacterial small subunit ribosomal RNA
Source: RNAcentral
GAUUCUGGCUCAGGAUGAACGCUAGCUACAGGCUUAACACAUGCAAGUCGAGGGGCAGCAUUGGAGUAGCAAUACUCAGAUGGCGACCGGCGCACGGGUGAGUAACACGUAUCCAACCUGCCGCUUACUCGGGGAUAGCCUUUCGAAAGAAAGAUUAAUACCCGAUGGUAUAAAGAGUUCGCAUGUUCUCUUUAUUAAAGAAUUUCGGUAAGCGAUGGGGAUGCGUUCCAUUAGAUAGUUGGCGGGUAACGGCCCACCAAGUCUACGGUGGAUAGGGGUUCUGAGAGGAAGGUCCCCCACAUUGGAACUGAGACACGGUCCAAACUCCUACGGGAGGCAGCAGUGAGGAAUAUUGGUCAAUGGACGAGAGUCUGAACCAGCCAAAAGUAGCGUGAAGGAUGACUGCCCUAUGGGUUGUAAACUUCUUUUAUAAGGGAAUAAAGUGAGGGACGUGUCCCUUUUUGUAUGUACCUUAUGAAUAAGGAUCGGCUAACUCCGUGCCAGCCGCCGC